Molecule: long non-coding RNA, 277 nt
Filed under: Elaeis guineensis (African oil palm)
Lineage: Eukaryota; Viridiplantae; Streptophyta; Magnoliopsida; Arecales; Arecaceae
Description: long non-coding RNA (EGUI_LNC058091)
Source: RNAcentral
UUAGGUUGUAGAUGAUUGUGCUCCAUACAUAUAUAUGAAUUAUAAAAAUAAUAAAUAUUAUCUGAUAGAUUCAUCAUAAGAAAUAUAUUUUUCUAAAUAGAACUCAUAUGUUAUGAUGAAAUCCUUAGAGAUAGUUCUAAAAUGAUAAAGGAAGAUUUAUCAUGUGGUUCUUAAAUUCUGUUCAUGAUCAAAUGAUACAAUUGUUAUAAGGAUGAUAAUUGUAUCGAGUGUAAGUCGUUGUGUGCCAUAUUAGUUGAUUGUCCUUUUAACCAAGGCA